AUGGGCGCGGUGGCGCGCCCGGAGCCGGCCCAGCGGAGCGCGCCGAUGCGGCUGUGCGUGCACGUGCUGGAGGCGCGGGGGCUCCCCGCCAUCUACCUCAACGGCUCCAGCGACCCCUACGUGCGCCUGCAGCUCGGGAGGCGGCGGGCCAAGACGACGGUGGUCAAGCGGAGCCUCAGCCCCGUCUGGGACGAGGAGUUCGGCUUCCUCGUCGCGGACGUCGCCGAGGAGCUCGUCGUCUCCGUGCUCAACGAGAACAAGUUCUUCAGCACCGACUUCCUCGGCCGGGUCAAGGUGCCGCUCUCCGCCAUCCUGGAGACGGAGGACCACUCGCUCGGCACCGCCUGGUACCAGCUCCAGCCCAAGAGCAGCAAGUUCAGGAGCAAAAAACGCGGUGAAAUUUGCCUGAAGAUAUACCUAUCGGUUAGGGAAGGCCACUGCAAUGAGUCGCAAAACAUUCUGAUGCAACUUAUCAACGAUACGCCAUGCAGCUCAACUAGGUCAAUUGAAACUAACGAGUCGUCCUUAUCAGCAGUUACUAGCAGCCUGGAUCAAUCAGCCUGCGCUAGCAUGGACCGUGCAUUCUAUCGUAGUGGUGUGGAUCAGCUGACCCAAAGCAACACGGACCAAAAAGUCCCGAGCAGCCUACCUUGUGGCACCACACAGCAAGCAGUUAUUCUGGAACCUGAAGAGGAUGACGGCGAUGCUACCGGCAAUGCAUCAUCAGUAGUGGAGGUCUUGGCUCGAUACUUCCGUAAAGCUGCUGAUACUGGACCUUCUCUAACAUCAGACCCCGAGCCCAUAGAUCAGUUUCAAGAAACAGAAAUAGCUGGAUCCUCUGAAAAUGGCAAGAACGGCAUGCCCGAAGUUAAUCUUGAUGAACUACUGAAAACUAUGGAGUCUAAAGAUCAAGGCGGUGGAAUGCCAGGAAACUUACCUGGUGGCGUUCUACUGGAGCAAUCUUACGUUAUUAAACCAGCUGAAUUGAAUGCCAUGCUGUUUUCAGCGAAUUCAGAUUUCUGGCCAGCAGUUGCAGAAGUUCAAGGGCUAAGUGGGUUUCAAAUUGAUCCCUGGAAAUAUGAAAAUAACGAAAAUUCUGUGAAAAGGACAUUAACUUACACAAAAGCUGCAAGCAAAUUAGUCAAGGCUGUAAAAGCUACAGAAAAGCAGACAUACUUGAAGGCAGCUGGAAAUUCGUUUGCUGUGCUUUCUAGUGUUAGUACUCCUGAAGUUCCCUGUGGUAAUUGUUUCAAGGUGGAGAUAUUGUACUGUAUAAUACCAGGUACCACAUUGCCAUCUGAAGAACAAACCUCACAGCUGACUAUAAGUUGGCGCCUGAACUUUGUUCAGAGCACAAUGCUGAAAGGAAUGAUUGAGAAUGGGACAAGGCAAGGCCUCAGAGAAGGAUAUGCACAGUUUACUGAAGUGCUUUCCAAGAAAAUCAAAGUAGCUGAGACAGAUGAUGCUAAAUCGAGCAAAGACAAGAUUCUAGCUUCACUGCAGACUCAUGAACAAUCCAAUUGGAAGCUGGUUUCCCGCUUCCUUGGGAGCUUUGCAUUCAUAUUCUCAUUUACUGUUGCAGUGUAUGGCAUUGCACACCUUGGUUUAGUCAAGCCCAGUAAAAUGGUGCAUGGAGGGCUUGAAUAUUUUGGUAUUGAUCUUCCAGAUUCAGUUGGGGAGGUUAUAUUUUGUGCUCUUUUGAUUCUUCAGGGGAGGAAUAUCUUCAAAGUAGGUCAACGUUUUUUGCAGGCCUGGAGAAAACGUGGCAGCGAUCAUGGGGUCAAAGCUCAUGGUGAUGGCUGGUUGCUGACUGUUGCACUUAUUGAGGGAAGUGGCAUAGUAGGUGCAGCCACACCAGGCUUGACUGAUCCUUAUGUAGUUUUUAUGUGCAAUGGGAAGAGGAAAACUAGCUCAGUUAAGUUCCAGACAUCAGAACCAAAAUGGAAUGAGAUAUUUGAAUUUGAUGCAAUGGAUGAUCCCCCAUCAAGGUUGGACGUGGUUGUGCAUGAUUCAGAUGGCUCACCCGAUGAUAAUGCUAUUGGUCGCACAGAAAUAAAUUUUGUGAAAAACAAUUUGUCAGAUUUGGAUGACAUGUGGCUUCCUCUCGAUGGAAGGUUUGCCCAAGGAUCUGAGCCCAAGUUACAUUUAAGAAUUUUUUUGAACAACUCGCGCGGGACUGAAGUUGUUAUGAAUUAUCUGGAAAAGAUGGGGAAAGAAGUCGGCAAGAAGAUGCCCUUGCGGUCUUCUCAGACAAAUUCAUCAUUCCGUAAGCUCUUUAGCCUUCCUCCAGAAGAAUUUCUUAUUGAUGAUUUCACCUGCCACCUAAAAAGGAAAAUGCCACUUCAGGGGCGCCUCUUUCUUUCCCCAAGAAUAAUUGGAUUUUAUUCCAAUAUAUUUGGGCGGAAAACCAAGUUUUUCUUUCUUUGGGAAGACAUUGAUGAUAUCCAGGUUGUUCCACCGUCUCUUUCAACAGUUGGCAGUCCAUCCUUGAUGAUCAUCCUCCAGAAGGACAGAGGUCUAGAAGCCAGGCAUGGUGCCAAAACACAGGAUCCUCAAGGAAGACUGAGGUUCCAUUUCCAAACAUUUGUCUCAUUCAACGAUGCUCACAGAGUUAUUAUGGCACUUUGGAAAACACGGUCAUCGGGUCUAGAACAAAAGGGAGAGACGACCGACAAAGAACCUGAACCAAAACAGCUCCCCAAUGAAGAAGUUUCUCUGUUGGGCAACGAAGACGUAAAAAUGUCAGAAGUCUACUCGGCUGUUCUUUCUGUUGAUGUCAAUGCCUUGAUGGAGAUGUUCUCCGGAGGUCCACUUGAACACAAGGUGAUGCAGAAGGCUGGUUGUGUUGACUACUCACCAACAGAAUGGGAGCCAGUAAACCGAAACAUAUACCAGAGGCAGAUCAGCUUUAGGUUAUCAAAACAUGGAGAAGCGACAACCAAGCAACAAAAAUAUAACUUACAGAAUCGAGAUGGGUGGGUCCUUGAGGAGGUCAUGACCCUCCAAGGCGUCCUGCAUGAAGACUAUUCGAGUAUCCAGCUCAAGUACCAUAUGAUGAGCACGUCGUUGAAACCAAACUCCUGCAGCAUUCAGGUGAUGUUAGGGAUUGUCUGGUUGAAGGGCACUAGGCACCAAAAGAAGGCUACAAAGAAUGUCAUGUCGAAUUCCACCAACAGGCUGAAGGAAAUAUUCUCAGAAGUCGAAAAGGAGCUUUCAUCCAGAAAAGGUGUGAGUUAG
Molecule: ribosomal RNA, 3237 nt
Filed under: Triticum aestivum (bread wheat)
Lineage: Eukaryota; Viridiplantae; Streptophyta; Magnoliopsida; Poales; Poaceae
Description: partial small subunit ribosomal RNA
Source: RNAcentral